Lycium barbarum (goji berry) is the source of this 7660-nucleotide long non-coding RNA. RefSeq lists it as uncharacterized. The transcript is spliced from 5 exons. The record is from RefSeq and is a predicted model, not a curated record. Lineage: Eukaryota; Viridiplantae; Streptophyta; Magnoliopsida; Solanales; Solanaceae.
AUUUUGGGAAGAGAUUCUUUUCACUUUUUACUCCUUCAGGACUUGCUCAUCCAUAAAUGGCAAUCCAUUUAAUGCCCUUGUUGUCUUCCGCCAGCAAAUCGAAUUAAAAGGGUAACUUUGUUGAUUUUCGACCUUUUUUUUUGUUUUCCAGUACGAAUUACAGCUGUUAAAGAUUAAAAUUCAAAAUUCAAACAAAUUUUUGAUAUGGGAAAAGUCCCACAUCGGUUCAAAGCAUAAAUUGGUACUCUUAGUUCUUCUAUAAAUACAGAACCCCUCUCUUCAUUUUACAACAACACAAGUUCAGAGACCAAAAAAAUUGGGUUUUUACACCCACAAAGGGGUUUCUACACCCCAAGGACUUGAACACUCAGAAACAUGACAAAAGUCCUGAGUUUUGAGGAAGUUCUCGCUAAAACAUAAUUUUUGGAAGUCGAUUUCCGCUCGUCAGAAUCGAUUGGGGUGAAAGGUGGCAUCGUCAACUCUUGGCGCCCCCACCGCUGCUCGACAAACUUCUUUCCGUCUCUUUAUUGUUCUUCCUAUGUGUUCAUGUAUUUGUUUAAAUUAGCCUGUUCAGUGGCAUGAUUAUGUGAUUUACUAGUGGAUUAAUUAGAUGCCUUUAAUUAGGAACAAUUAGUGAUCUUAUGUAUUAUAUUUUGAUAAUUCCAGGUUGCUAUCUAUCUAAUUGUUAAUUCGAGCACAUUUGUUAUAAGCUUGGCAACAUGCUAGUCAUAUGAUAAAUGAAUAGGACUUGUAACUAAUUUACAGCUCUAUUAUGUGGCAGAUUGCUUCAUUAUCCAUGCUUAGACUAGUCCAUAAAUAUGUGUUGAAGUAGCUAAUGGUCAUAUCUAUGACCAGCUCCUUUUGAAGAGGGAUAACUUAAAGAUCUGGAACAGAAACGAGCAGUGGUAUAAAUCUUUGUGAACCAACUAAUUAAAAAGCUGAUUUGGAUCUGGCAAUGGUAUAAAAACUGGAUGUUUUGCUUAAAUGCCAUAUGAUCUUUUACUGAAACAUGAAGUUGAUGGACUUGUUUACUUGGUUAUGAUCUAUGUGAUUUCAUCUUUUCCAUUUAGUCUUUUAUGUAGUCAAUCCUGGAGGUCCUCUAUAUUGGGAUGAGUCAUAAAUAAAUGUGGAAAGGGACCACAUGUGUGCUAUGAUCAUAAAAUCAACAUUCAAUUAUAGGGAUAGGUACUGAGUAUCAAAAUACAAGCCCUUAAGAUGUAUUGUAUGUCUAGCAUGGUCUGUUAGUUAGAAGAUGACUAAAAAUCAGAAAACUUUGAAUUAGUAGAAGGUAAGCCUGGUCAUCUAGGCUAACCAUAUGCAUUCUCUAAUUGAAAUACUGGUCUAGCUCUCCCUGUUUGGAAAAUUCUAGGGUGAUUGAAAUGUAAUAGCAAUGGCUAUUGUUUGGAUUUAGUUUGAAGUAUAAGUUGUCCCCUUAUUUUUUUUAGCUUUUUGUUCACUAUGAUGUGCUAUUAAGAUUCCAGUGGUGUGUCUUCCCUAAUGAGCUUCACAAGCUACUGAUUCCUCUUUAUGUUGUCUAUAUGCAAAUGAUUCAUUUAAAUUAUAGCUAGCUUAUCAAAACUGUCCAAAUUCAGUUGUUUUAGUGAGACUAGGUGUCAUCUAGACCUUAAUAAUUGCUGGAGAUGUUCUCUAAAUAUUGUUGAGUUCCAGUAAUUUUCCAAAUCUGUAGCAAAUCUCUUUUCACUGUGCUAUUUAGGACAAAACAGGAUGCAAAUUAGUGUGAUCUUUUAAGAUGGCUAACUUUGUUUGAAGUGAUGAUUUCUUCUGAGAACUGCUGGACUAAUAGUUUAAGACAAUUGACCUUUCCUUUAAUUUAAAAUGCUGGUCCUAGAACUGGUUAGGAAUUUCAUGAAUAUUAUUGUUGUGAUUUCCUUUUUCUUUAGCCAGGUGAUAUUACUACUUAUUCUGGUUGGAAUGACUAUAUGAUUCUUAAAGAAAGAUUGAGGGAACAUCUUUUAUUGACACUUAACAUCUCCUAUUACAAGUAGAUUUUAUGAAACUGAAUCUGGAUCUUAAAUGAUAAACUAAGGCAAGCUUAGGGAUUGGUUUAACCUCCUCCAAUGGCCUACCAUGCUGAGGUUCUAGAAACCUUUGGAUCUUGUGUGGCAUUGGAAGAUGGAUGGUGGUAACCCCCUUUUUAUAUCUUGUCUUUUAAACUGAUGGUUUAGUUUGACGAUUCAUGAUUAGUUUUAAGUUUACUUUUUAUUUUCUUUCUUUAAAAUGCUGAGUUUGUUUGAUGUUGCACUUAGCUCCCUUUUUAUAUCUUGUCUUUUAAACUGAUGGUUUAGUUUGACGAUUCAUGAUUAGUUUUAAGUUUACUUUUUAUUUUCUUUCUUUAAAAUGCUGAGUUUGUUUGAUGUUGCACUUAGCUCUACUCAUCUCUUCAGUUAUUAGCCUCAUGUAUGAUUCAAAUUUGUGCAAUAAAGUUGUGCUUGACUCUGUUGCUUUCUGAGGAGUUUGUUGUUGCUGUGUAUGAAACCCCCAUUUGCUGUCCAUUCUCCAUCCUAAAAAGGGAAACUGGUAAAGCUCAUGUUUCCAUUUAUCUAUCUCUAAACAUGUCUAGAAGCAGGUUGUUCACUUUAUUAUGUAUAAUUUUCCAGAGUAAUAGCAAAGAUAAAAAUGUUUUGAUUAAGACUAGGUUUGAUCCCUCACAUGUGUUAAGAAUCUCAAAACCCCUCAAGACACCAGUUGUAAACUCUAUUGCCCUUUUGGAAUCUGUCCUUUGUAGUUUAAAUCAGUGAUCCUUGAGUGUAAUUUCAACUUUGUUCUCUUAAGUUCUAUAUUUUCAUUGCAAGUAAGUUCAAGUCAUCAUCCUGGUAAAGCUUCAAUGUUCAAGUUUGGAAAGAACAUGUUCUUAUUAGCAGAAUCACUUUUGGGCUUCAAAAAUUUUGGUUAGCUAGUCUUCUUUGACUAAUCUAUUUCAUCCUAUAUCUGUGAAGUGCUUCAGAUUGUCAAUGUUGUUUCAAGUUUGUUGUUCUACCCUUUGAGCUUAAUAUUGUGUGUUACAACCUGUUCCUAUUUGAUGAGUUCCAGUUAUUUUGUCUCCCUUUAUUUGACUACACAUGUUGUUGUACAGGGAAGAUGAAGGUAGUUUAUAGGGUAGUUUGAAAGAAUAGAUCAUUGUUAAUAUAUGCUUGUGUUCAUAUUUAGAAAAAUAACAGGUUCACUAUCAGAACCCCCUAUUUGCAUUAGUUUAGCUAAGCCUAGAGUAAGGAGUCACUGUUUGGGCAUACAAACCUUAGAAAGUUGUUCAUAUAAAACUAAAAUGGCUAAGUACAUUUGCUUUGGCUCAUGAAUUGUAGUAUGUGCUUACUUGGUUGUUCUUCAUUAAUAGUCCUGAAUGAAAUGUUUGAAGAUCCAUCAAUAAGCUCUUAUUUUAAAGCUAAAUGAAUAUUAUAAAAUCUGUCUUGGGAUUCUUUUUUUGGUUUAGGCUCAUCCACUUUUGAAACCUUAGCCUCAGUCUUUGUUUAUUACAUUAAUCCUUCAGCAUGUCAAAAUACAGUAUGCUCUCUUGUUAAUAGUCUGCUAAGCCUGUAUUUUCUUGAUACUUAUUCUUCAUUCUCUCUUUUCUUUGCAUAACUUGGGGGACAUCUCCCAAAAACCCAUUAUCCAUGAGAUGCUGCCAAAGUUGAGCUUCUGCUGUACUUCUGCUGCACAUUUGGCUGAAAACACUGUGCCAACUAUUGUGCUUAAAUUUUGCGCCUUUGAUGAGGACAAACACUACAUCAUGAGCUCUGCUAUAAUUUGGGGCAAAGUUGUCCACUGCCUUUGAGGUAAACUCCUGUUAUUUAUCAUUGCUGCACUUGCCGUGCUGCCUAGAUUGUAGUAUCUUGCCAUUUGCUGCACUUGCAAAAUCCUCAAGUGCUGUGCUUUGGCACUUGAACUGCUAUACACAAUUAAUGCUUCACAUUCUGAUACCCUUGCUACUGUAUGAAACUGUUGUGCUGAGCUACUUAAUUUGGUUCUUGUCGCCUGUUGUGCUUCUUUCACUUUGAGUUUGAGAACAUGUUGUUCCUUGAGUUUGGUUUGCUACAGUUGAUCCAUCUUAAACAACUAUUGUUGUUGGGCAUGUGUUAUACUACUUUUGGGAAGCUGCUAUGUUUGAAUGGAAAAAGAAAAAUAAACUGCUGCUAUACUUUUGGGCAAAAUAAGCUGCUGCUAUACUUCUUUUUGGCAAAUUGUUGCCCUUUAUUCAUAAAGAACAGAUGCCAUAUUUGAUGAAAGUAAAGCAGGUGCUGCUGCUAUGUUCUUAAAAAGGAACAGAUUACUACAUUGGGAAAGUCCACUGAUUAGAAUUUGAUACUACACUAGGGCCAAUGAAAAAAAUGACGUUGGAGGCCAUGCCUAGUCCAGAAAGGUUAUCCCUCAGUUUGGGCAAAGAUGAUCUCACAUUGAUAUCACGAGAUAGGAACCGACAUGCGCCUGGAAAAGCAAUUAGAAUGGCCACUAGUUUGCAGCCGCGGCAUGAUCCAGGCUCCUUUGCCAUGUUUGGAACCAUGAGUCUGAGCCUCCAUAAUCAAAGCUCUCAAAGUUUGAUACGAGUCCGAGGGAUAUUAUAUUUUAUGUUCCUAAUGUCACCCUAUGGGGUGUCGUGUCAUUUUGACUAACUACUAUCCUUUUCACUGUGCGAGGUACCAAUAAAACAAGCACGGAGAGCAAGUCUUAAGGACAAAGUAAAAGGAUCGGACGUUUAAAGCUUCGAACGAAGGACUAGAAGAGUGCGGGAUUCGGGCCCAAGGCCGACAGAGCUAAGUUUUCUUCCCUCUCUUUACUUUGUAUAAAACAUGCCUAUUUUAUACAUUUACAUUCAUCUUGUAUGAACGUACUUUUUUGUUGUAAAUGUUUUGGGUAUAACUAUUGAAACCCUUACAGGUUAGAACCUAGGAUUUGGGUAGACAAUAUUUCAAAAUUGCAUCCAAACGAUAAAAGAGUUGUAUUCCACUUGAUUAAAGUGAAUAAAAAUGGAAUUAUAUUUUCUUGCACAAAGUUGAUUGUCUUUGAACAUGUCGUUAAAAGUAUAUUUUAUAAUUGGAGAAAGCAUAAGAAAAGAAAGUCCAGAAACGUUUGGGCUAGACCGAACUUAACGAAUUCGAAUAAAUGGAAUUUCCUUCCGGGCCCAAGUUUGGGAUAUGCCCAGUAUACUAUCCUUAUAAGUAAAAGGACAAUAUUAUUGACAAUAUUAUUUUAUCACGGAUGUUUUUAAUCCGAACUUAAACUACCCUUAUUUAAAGGGAAAUUCUUUAAUUCUUUUAAAGCCAAAAUGAUAUGCCACGAUGGUAUUUUUUAUACGGGAAACUAAACAAAACAUAAGCAGUUCAUACAUAAUCACACAUUGAAGCUCGAAGGUCAAUCGUAUUCUAUGGAUCCUUAAUAUUGGGGAGCUUAACACUUUCCCCAAGGGAGCACCAGAACCCUUAUACAGAACUCUGGAUUACGAAGAAUUUUUCACUAUAUUUGAAUACACCCUUCACCACUGGUUUACCACGACUCUUUUUCAAAACAAGUCCGAAAGAGCACCAACAAGUUCAUAGUAGCUUUUAUGCAUCCACGUAAAAUGUGAACCGUAACACAACACAUUAUAAGUGCAGGUGUAUUGGCAAGUUUAAAAGGGAUAUCAAGCAGAAAUCGAAAGUGGAAGGCUCAAUGUGCGAAGUUUAGCCAAGGAAACAUCUCAUUUCUGUUGUUACUACUUUGAGAACUAUGUGGCUUGUUUGAGAAAUAGGCCUAAUUGACACUAUGAUGGAGGUGUGAAUAAUUCUUUGCCGGAGCUGAUAUCGAUCUUUAAUCAACCAGGUGAUAGGUCAAAAAUACAUGUGAGACCAUUGAAUCAAAUGGAGGAUAAAUCGGCAUCCACACAUAUCUUGUUAAAUUUCCCAGAAGUUCAACCUUAUUAUGAUCUCUUUGUGGAGAUAUAUGGCCAAGAAAAAGUACGACCAAUUUGCAACGUGGUUUAACAAUUACGUUCACAAUACACCUUGUGGUUUUUAUGAACAAUUUUUGAAGGACUUAUCUUGGGGACCCAUUGGUACCAAUUGUAUGGACAAAUAUCUUGUUAAUGGUUUCAAAUUUAAUACCCGAGAAUGUGCUAACCAUAUGAAAAUUAAUAACAGUGGUGUGUGGGUUAAAGGUGCUUAUGGUGUUGAUUUUUUUGGUGUAAUCGAAGAGAUUUUAGAAUUAGAGUAUUCUAGUUGGCCAAGGAAAAAAAAUUGUUUUGUUUCGGUGCAACUAGUUUGAUCCAACCCCAAAAAGAGGUACGACUGUACUGAAAGAUUCCAAUAUCAUUGAAGUAAAGCACUCGCUGAGGUAUGCAGCUUAUGAUCCUUUCGUCAUUGCAUACAACGUUAAGCAAGUGUACUAUGUCCCGUAUCCAUUGCGACCAGAUAAGUCAGAUUGGUGGGUGGUUAUUAAAACCAAGCCUAUUGGUCGUGUGGAAGUUGAGAAUGACCUGUCUGCCUUUCAGAAUGACGGCAUAACACACGCUAACCGAAUAGUCAACCUUGAGUUAGAAACUGAACUGGAGCAUGCAAAACAUAUAUUAGAAGAAAUCGGUAUAGAAGAAGUUAAUGAAGUUUUAGAAGAAAAUGUUGAAAGUGAAACACCCGACGAGGAAGAAUGGUUCGACGAGGAAGAAAGUGAUGAAAAUUAGCAUGUUUUUCAUUUUAGAAGUAUUAAAUAUGUGUCGUUUUAUUUAUUUGGUUGUAAGACUUAUUAGUAUCUGAAUACUUAAGCUUUCUUUUGUAUUACAAGUUAUGAUUGUUGUGUACUGCUUGAUAUUUUUAUGCAAUUAUGAGUUAUGAUUGUUGUGUAAAUGUUAAGAGUUGAUACAUAUGAUCCAAAAAAUUUAUGAAACAGUGUUGGAAAAGAAAAUUGAAACAGUUUCUCUUCUUCCUUCUCUUGUUUUUUUCAUUAGUUGGUGUUCUUUUUUUUUUUUUAUUUUUUUUUUUUAUGCAUAUUGUCAUUUUAUAUGAUCUUAAUCUUAUCCCAGAUUUAGUUACUUGCUUUCAUAGUCCUUUUUUAAUCUUUUAAUUGUUUUUAGCUUUAUCUAUAAUAUACUUUCUCAAACUUUACUUCUGAGAAAUGCUUUGACAAAAUCUCAUCCCAAGUUCUGGAUGUUCAGUUUGGAGUCUCCCAUGCAAGUCUGAAAUUGAGUACCCGAAAACAGAGAAUUGAGUACUCCAUUCUGUCGCGGUAGCUCUCUGUUCCUGUGGUUGUGUAGUACUUCUUUGCGGGUAAUAGAUGGACUGAAAUUUGAUAUUUACAAAAAUUGUGAAGGAAAACUUUACAAAAGUUAAAGUGACUAUUCUGUUUCACCUUUGAAUUAUCAAGAGGGAUAUCAACUGUUGCACCACAAUCAUAUUCAACAGGUUCAUGAGGAAGAGGUGAAAGCCUCGAAUUUAUAGCAGGAGGAACACUUGCAGGAUUCUGAAGAUUUCUUAGUGAGUAAAAUAGUGCAUAAGCAAGAUGAUACAUAAUCAUUCAUUGGUAUUGGAACUGAAGCAUGCAAAUCGGUAUUCUCACUAAUUUUGAUACAAUCAUGAAGAAUAUUCAUCUCAUAUUCUGUAAUAGGCUUGUAAAUUGAAUAUGUAAUCGAAUAGUAAAUUGGAAUGAACUGGGGAAUUUUUAUUGACUAUCGAAUUGGUAC